UACGGGGGGGGCAAGCGUUGUUCGGAAUUACUGGGCGUAAAGGGUUCGUAGGUGGCUUGCUAAGUCAGACGUGAAAUCCCUCAGCUUAACUGGGGAACUGCGUCUGAUACUGGCGAGCUUGAGUGCAGGAGAGGAACGCGGAAUUCCAGGUGUAGCGGUGAAAUGCGUAGAUAUCUGGAGGAACACCGGUGGCGAAGGCGGCAUCCUGGACCGGUAUUGACGCUGAGGCGCGAAAGCUAGGGGAGCAAACGGG
RNAcentral lists this ribosomal RNA (253 nucleotides) under uncultured bacterium. RNAcentral's name for it is "partial 16S ribosomal RNA". It matches the Rfam family "Bacterial small subunit ribosomal RNA", at positions 524 to 776 of the family's 1533-position model. The record is from RNAcentral.